AUACGUAGGGUGCAAGCGUUAAUCGGAAUUACUGGGCGUAAAGCGUGCGCAGGCGGUUUUGUAAGACCGAGGUGAAAUCCCCGGGCUCAACCUAGGAACUGCCUUUGUGACUGCAAGGCUGGAGUGCGGCAGAGGGGGAAGGAAUUCCGCGUGUAGCAGUGAAAUGCGUAGAUAUGCGGAGGAACACCGAUGGCGAAGGCAAUCCCCUGGGCCUGCACUGACGCUCAUGCACGAAAGCGUGGGGAGCAAACAGGAUUAGAUACCCUGGUAGUCCACGCCCUAAACGAUGUCAACUGGUUGUUGGGUCUUCAUUGACUCAGUAACGAAGCUAACGCGUGAAGUUGACCGCCUGGGGAGUACGGCCGCAAGGUUGAAACUCAAAUGAAUUGGCGGGG
Molecule: ribosomal RNA, 395 nt
Filed under: uncultured bacterium
Lineage: Bacteria
Description: partial 16S ribosomal RNA
Rfam family: Bacterial small subunit ribosomal RNA
Source: RNAcentral